Amaranthus tricolor (Joseph's coat) is the source of this 1936-nucleotide long non-coding RNA. RefSeq lists it as uncharacterized. NCBI's taxonomy places the organism in Eukaryota, Viridiplantae, Streptophyta, Magnoliopsida, Caryophyllales, Amaranthaceae. The transcript has 3 exons. The record is from RefSeq and is a predicted model, not a curated record.
CACGUGAGUUAGCUAAAUAUCCAUAUUUAAAAAAAAAACCAUACUUUUUUUCUGAAGAUUUUGCUCAAACAUUUUCUUCCUUAAUUCUUAUCCUCUUCUUUCCUCAUUUCUUCUUUUUUAUAAGUCAACUUUGAAGCUCAAUCGUCGACAUCUGUUGGAUUAUCAAGCUCUAUCUAUCGAUUUUUGGAAACCCUAGCUUGAAAUUAAGGCAGAGUGAAUGAGUAACUUGGAAAGUGGCAUCAGUUGUAGCAAGAAUUAUCAUGAAGACCUUCCACUUCUCAGUCAUGCUAGAACCUUAUGAAUCAACGUCAAAGAAAAAUGACAUUCAACUCAAGCUCAUCAUUCAAGGAAGAAUUCUUAAUUAAAAUUUUUGUGUAGGUUGUAUCCCAUUGUAGAUUUCAUCAUGACGCACCUUUGUGGGAGAAAUAUCGCAAUAGGAAAGUGCAAUCACGCCUCCUACAAAUAUUGAGUUUUCGAGCGACUUGAAUUCAUUAUUGCAACCAUACCUUCGUUGUGUUCUUUUGGUGAUUAGAAGAGGUCAAGGCCAUCUACAAAGGGAUUACAAAUAAUGUAGAAUACUCUAUUGUGAUAUCAUCUUCAUGAUGACAAGUGUUAAGGAACUCAUUUCUAAUUUCACUAAGUUGGACAAAUUUAUUAGUGUGGACUUUCAACGUUGGCUAAAGAAGAUGCUUAUUCUCUUGAAAACUCUAAAUGUUGCCUAUGUAAUUAGCACUUUUAGACCGAAGGAAUCGAAAGAUGAAAUCUUGGAGCAAGCAAGGAAAAGGAGCAAGUGGGACAGUGACGAUUUUAUAUGAUGGGGUAACAUCUUGAAUGGUAUGACGGAUACUCUUUUUGGUGUCGAUCAAUUUCAUGAGUCGGUUAAACUUUUGUGGGAUUCUCUUGAAGACAAAUAUAUGGCCGAGGAUGCGAGUUCAAAGAAAUUCCUUGUAAGUAAUUUUAAUGCAUAUAAAAUGGUCGUUAAUCCCUCAAUUAUUGAUCAAUUCCAUGACUUACAAAGGAUGUAUGGAAACAUGAAAAUACAUGAUAUUAAAAUGGAUGAAUGUUUGUUGUAAGUAGAAUCAUAUACAAGUUGCCUCCGUCAUGGAGGGAUGUUAGACAUGCACUAAAACAUGAGAAGGAAGACAUGAGUCUUGCCGAUCUUGGACGAAAUUUUGUUGUUGAGUCUAGCAUAGGGGCCUCAUAAGGGCAAUAGGAUCCAAAUCCUAUUGUUUGCUUGGUCAACAUGGUAAAGGAGAAACCCUCUCAAUGUGAAAAGCGUAAGAAGAUUUACAACUAGAAUUCUAGCAAAACAAAACAGUUGAAAAUGGGUUUUGGGAACGCGGAAAGCCCAAACAUCUAAAAAGGAAUUGUUUUGUUUUUAAGAAUAAACAAAAGAAUAAGGGUCAAGCUUCAACAAUCGAGGACCCCUUUACUAGAGGCGAUUAUUCCAUAUUAAAUAAACAUUCUAGUUUUGAUGUUUGUAUAAUGAAUACUAAUAAUAGUAUUGUGCAGGAUGAUCCAUUGUCUUAGUUAUUGAUUUAAGGUCGACUAGACAUGUUUGUAAGAACAAACAUUUGUUUAGAACCUUGCACAAGGUGGUUGAUGGGGAGUUUCUCUACAUGGGGAACACUUCUUCUAUCAAGGUCCAUAGAAAAGGGCAAGUUGAACUCAUGUUUACAUCUGAAAAUCUCUUAGUGUUAAGAGAUGUAUACUACGCUCCUGAUAUUAGUAGGAAUCUGGUUUGUUUGGCAUUGAACAUGGCACACAACACUAUUUGAAGUAUAUUAUUAUGUUUGAAAUGGUUAGAAUUGAAAACAAUAGUUCUAUGCAUUAAAUUACGUGCUAAGUUGCGUUUUUAAGGUUUUUUAAGCGUUUUUGGCACUUUCUCGCAUAAAUAAGUUCAAACUUGGUUUGUUUGGCAUGAAACUUGGCACAC